GCGCACUACGGCCUCGUUCGCACGCUUGGCCAUUUACACAGAGAACCCCUCAUCCAAAUCCGCGAUAAAGUCGUCUCAUCAGCUCAGCUCACGUGUCCGGGACGAGCAGCAUCUCUUCAAAGUGAAGCAUACAGGCUGCACAGCACGCUGCGCCCAGGUCCGAUAGGCUGUCCAAGAUCAGGCUACUACAGGUCGGUGCGCCCGUGCGCGCGUAGAGAAACCGGCCAUUUGCAUAGCGCAGCAUAACUUGGGCUUCUCUACAGAGCUUCACUAAACAGCCUUCUAGUUUUUGCCUUGGUUGGUGCACAGGCGUUUACUAUUCCACCUCUUCACAACGACAACGCGUGAAGCCUAUGUGGCUUUCGACUUCAAACUCUCCCAGUUCUCGGAGAGUGUAGGGCGGUAAAGAGAUGCUGAGUACCUGGCUCCCACCAGCAUGGAGUUGGAGCAGAUAAAGCAGUUUAAUAUAAAUGAAAAACCUCACUUUCACUACUUGAGUUUAGCAAUAUUUAAAUAUAAAAAGCAGAUCGAAUCUAUUUUAUCCCAUUUGAGUAAUGCUUUUGUCGGGUGACCUUUUUAAAAGAAACAUAUAAAAAGCAGAAAACCUUUUUUCCUCUGUGAGGAAAAUGGCUUAAACAAGCAAACUAUAGAUGCAAUGACAUUUUGAACACUUAAAUUCCAGGUGAAUUGACUUCCUGUCUCCUUCAACGAAGAGGACCUUAGCAAAUGCAACAAGUAUAUGUUUGCGAAAAGAGGAAGAAAAAGUAAGCAUACACAAAUUACUUUUUCAUGCAACGAACCCGUCACCGUUCUUGGAACCGAGGGGAUGAACAUCUGAGACGGCUUACGAUGCAGGAAUAGGAUCAUGUUGGUUCAUCGGAUAAAAAGGUCCAGAGAGGAGACAGUGGGUGAGGCCUGUCUCUUCUAAAGCACCCUGUGUCCUGAGCAGAACUAGGUCAACAGAGACCGUUGGUUGAUUCACACCCUCACAUCACGAAGAGCCCUCCCUCAUUCCCUUCCUAUCUCUCAUCCCUGCUCCUCUCUGUCCCACACUACAUGCCUCUCUAUUUAUACUGUUGAGUCAGUUUGCCACUGACAGCAGUGAGUGAUAAGGAAGAUUGAAUCAUCAUGUAUUAGAAACACAAGCUUUCUUUUACCAAUACUCUCUUAAAGGGGAAACACUGAGUGUUACUGGCAGUUAGUGGAAAGGUUCAGAGAUAAGACCAGCUACAAAGAAAAUUAGGCUCAAUCAUAAUCGAUGUUAUAAGCAGAUUAAAGCAGGCAAAUUUACAAAGAGCACAAUCAGCGUGUUCCCAGUGGAGUGUCCUCAGCAUCGGCAGUGGCUGCAGAGAAGGAGAGAUGUAUCGCUCCAGCAGGAUGCUGGUCCAUAGGUGUCUAGUUUCAGAUGGCAGGCAUGCUGGGAGCACAGUGUGGAGCACAGCACAGCCAAGUGGACAACAAUGGAACACGCAGAGACACAGGUGUCCCUACCACGAACCCAAUGUAAGACAGAUAAUGUUUAUUUGUGAACCUGGGUCCAUGUGUAUAAAUGGUAAUAUGUUGAUGUGCAUGCAGCAUGUGUUUUUUACACUGCUGUGCUUUUACAAUCUUUGUUCUCAUGUAGAUUAUGUAUUCAUGUGUGUGUUUGUAUUAGCUCUCUGAUAUUGAUUCAGUAUUACUGUAGUAGCACUUAAGCAGCACUCAUGCAUGCUUCCCUCAGGACUCCAACACCUGCAAAUGGAAAUGAAGUAUUCCUAAAAUUAAGGUGAAGAUCGUGAAGUGCAAUAUAAGUAAGAACAGAAGGCCAGCAUGCAGAAAAUAAAGAACAGAAAUUCAUAUCACAAUCUCUCACAGUGUCCAUUUACAUUUUUCUUUUGCUUUAUGUACAAAUCUCACUCCAUUUCUUUCUUGUUCUCUCCCUUUAACUCACUGGAGGAUGCUAACCCAUCAGGUCCCAUGGCUCCCCUCCAUGGGAUGAUGUCAUUUCAGAUGACAUCACCAUGCAGUGUAUGUGUGUUUGUGCUAUGUGUAUGAGAACACCCCCCACCCCCAUCCUUUCCACCACUCUUCCUCCUCUUCCCCCUGCAGCUCUGCUUCUUUCCUCCUAGGAAAGGUGCUGUUUGACACACACCCGCUAUACCCAGACCAUCCGGCCAACUACCAUGCUUGCACAAGAGCUUUUAGAGCGCAGGGUCAAGGAGAAUGAGAGAGACAGACACGGACUGCCAUGAAGGCAAAAACACACGUACAUACACAAAAGAAGGAGGUGAGGUGGUGUUUAGAGUGGCAGUUGUGUGAUGUGAGGGUACAGAAAGAACCGUAGAGGUGUGGCGAGGACUCAGCGAAGGGAUGGGCUCUGAGAGCCGAGUCAGUUUAAUUACACAACAUUGCUGCCACUAUAACACCACAAAGCCCAGGCAUAAACUGUCAUUAAGAUAAAAAAGUAGUACACGGAGGAGUGCCACAGACUGUCUGAAUUCUUCUUGGCUCUAUUGUUUGUUGUUAACACAGUUAUAUAUAAAACUUAAUAGCCUGGUUCAAAUUUCUGGAAAACAAAUGAGUUUAAAAGAAUAAAACAAAAUUGAAGGAAAUAGGCCUAUUUACUUCCUGCAGUGAGCAAAUUGUGGGUUCCAUUUGAUGGGAAAAGUUGGAAUUUCAAAGUUCCGAAUAGGAAACAUAAGAAUUUUCCCCCAAUGUGGAUUUCUGAGUCAUGGACUCUGGGUGUAAACUCUGGGCAAAAAACAUAGUAAAGAUGUAGUAAUAUAUAUUUAUUGCCACUUCCUAAUCUAGUGAGUGAAAAAACUCUUGGUUUUCUGACUUGUAAAACUGGAAAGUAGCCUUUUUUAGGUUUGAUGCCAUUGCUAGCUCUGUCAUGGGCUUGUCAGGAAAAUAUAAACACAUCACAACUUCAUUUCAGAUUAAAUAUUAGGUUAGUUUGUAGGCAGUUAGCUUAGCUUAAGGUACAUUCCAUUUAAACCAGGCAGCCAAAUUCCCAAGGUGAUAUUUGACCUUGAACCAUCCCUUCUCCUUGUCACAAAUCUGGCUUAGAAAAAAAAAAAAUCUCACUAAUGCAGAUGAGCAUUUGCAAAGUUAGUUUCUUUCCUUAGGAGUGUUCUGAGUAAGAUUACCCAGAUGGAUCUAUGUGACUGCCAUGUGGAAUAAUACUUCCAUUAAUCUCAUAACAUCUUUUUAACAAGAACAAGAAAAAAAAAAAUGCUUUGAAAAAUAUGUUAGAUUUUUAAUGACCAUAAACAUACAUAAGAUGGCUAUCUUACACAUAGUUAUUAAAACUGUUGUAUUAUAAGAUUUUUUUUAUCCAUUUGUCUAUGUGUGUGUCACUGAAUGAGUCCCACACACAAUACUGUUCUCCUUCUAGUUAUGACGAUAUUUCUGUGAUUUCCGUUCCUAAAUCCAGAACAAGUUCUUUACAAGCAUUGCUAACCUGGAUACUCUGAGCAAAUGUAAUUUGUUCUGCUAUUUGAUUAACUGGAACAUGUUCAAGUGAAGGGAAUUAUGAUUUCUGAGUUGAAUUAAAUUAAAUACAAUUAAAUGGACAGUAACUGUGUGGUUACAGUACACAGUUAGUCAGCUUAGCUAAUCUUAGCUUAGCUCAUAGACAGGUGUCUGUGCAAUGUCAUCACAGAAGUAUGUACACAACCAGAGGGUAGAAAGUAGUGCACAAUCUUUGGUAGAACCAAGAUCCAAAACAGUGAUGUCAGGGCAGUUAACUUUACCUAUCAACUAAAAGAUGGACGCAAAUCAUUUCAAAUGUCACAGAGAACUCUUUGCUGAAAGCAGUAGAAAAUUGUAGAUCCACAAAGAGCAGACUGACAUCCCAUGAGUUUCUGCAUUGCUCCUGUUGUGUGUCAAAAUGCAAAGCUCUGAUUCCAAGACUUAUUAAGCUACCAGAGCAUAAAUAUACAGUAUAUGCAUCUAAAUAUUAGCUCGUACACAUGUAAAAACACUCAGUGACAUUUUAUGUAAUGUGUUUCAGAUCAUGCAGUUAUUAAUUCUGGGAAAAUGGCUGGAACUGAUCAAUAAAUCUGU
Melanotaenia boesemani (Boeseman's rainbowfish) is the source of this 4047-nucleotide long non-coding RNA. RefSeq lists it as uncharacterized. The transcript has 3 exons. The record is from RefSeq and is a predicted model, not a curated record. NCBI's taxonomy places the organism in Eukaryota, Metazoa, Chordata, Actinopteri, Atheriniformes, Melanotaeniidae.